UACGUAGGGUGCAAGCGUUAAUCGGAAUUACUGGGCGUAAAGCGUGCGCAGGCGGUUCUGUAAGACAGGGGUGAAAUCUCCGGGCUUAACCCGGAAACUGCAUUGAAUACUAUUCGGCUUGAGGUCUGGAGGGGGGACUGGAAUUCUCGGUGUAGCAGUGAAAUGCGUAGAUAUCGAGAGGAACACCAGUGGCGAAGGCGAGUCCCUGGACAGGUCCUGACGCUGAGGCACGAAAGCUAGGGGAGCAAACAGG
Molecule: ribosomal RNA, 253 nt
Filed under: uncultured bacterium
Lineage: Bacteria
Description: partial 16S ribosomal RNA
Rfam family: Bacterial small subunit ribosomal RNA
Source: RNAcentral